Molecule: ribosomal RNA, 468 nt
Filed under: uncultured bacterium
Lineage: Bacteria
Description: partial 16S ribosomal RNA
Rfam family: Bacterial small subunit ribosomal RNA
Source: RNAcentral
GACGAACGCUGGCGGCGUGCUUAACACAUGCAAGUCGAACGGAAAGGCCCUGCUUUUGUGGGGUGCUCGAGUGGCGAACGGGUGAGUAACACGUGAGUAACCUGCCCUUGACUUUGGGAUAACUUCAGGAAACUGGGGCUAAUACCGGAUAGGAGCUCCUGCUGCAUGGUGGGGGUUGGAAAGUUUCUGCGGUUGGGGAUGGACUCGCGGCUUAUCAGCUUGUUGGUGGGGUAGUGGCUUACCAAGGCUUUGAAGGGUAGCCGGCCUGAGAGGGUGACCGGCCACAUUGGGCCUGAGAGACGGCCCAGACUCGAACGGGAGGCAGCAGUGGGGAAUAUUGCACAAUGGGCGGAAGCCUGAUGCAGCAACGCCGCGUGCGGGAUGACGGCCUGCGGGUUGUAAACCGCUUUCGCCUGUGACGAAGCGUGAGUGACGGUAAUGGGUAAAGAAGCACCGGCUAACUACGUG